UGCCAGAGGUGUGGACUUGAGUCACAUGACUUGGACUAGAGUCAGACUCAAGUCACAAAUAUGAUGACUUGCAAAUUGACUUGAACUUUAACACCAGUGACUUAAUUUGGACUUGAGCCUUUUGACUCGAACUGACUUGAUACCCUCCCCCAAGUCCAAAUAUGAAAAAUAAUAUUUUUAUAUGAAAAAUUAUAUUUUUUAAAAGUGUGCAGCGCAUCAACUCUUCAUUUAACGGAUUACAGUUUGAAUCGGACAGCAGCCAAUCAAAUUGUGCCAGCAGACAAAAGGUUGCGAGUGGCAAUGCAGAUGGACGUCAGCGGGUGAAUUCAGAUGGAGCCCUUGGAAAGAUGAUACCCAAAAUUAUUAUUUUCGGAUAUAAAGUCUACGCUGUAGUCACCCAAAACUUUUUUUUUUUUUUUAACUUUUCAAUAAUUUUUUCUAUGCUUUCCUCUUACAGAUUUGAACAAUUCCAGAUGAACAAAAGUGUCACAAGUGAACCACAAGUCUCCAAACUCACAGUUCAUCGAGACGCGUGUAGGGCAGUACAGCAUGAAUCAUCCUCAUCAGAAAGCUAUCAACACUGCAAUACUGUCCGACAUGGUUAUCGAUUGCAACUUGCCUCUGUCUAUUGUGGAAAACCACAGUUUUUGUCACUUUCUGUCAGUGGUUGACAGUAAGUACAGCCCAGUGUGUCGCAGAACAUUGACAUCAAAAGUAGAGAACCUCGCUACAGCGAGAUGUUCAAAACUGAAAACUCAGUUGAGCAACACAGACCAAGUUUCAGUCACAGUGGACAUUUGGGCCGACCGAAAGAUGAGUAUGGGAGUGGAAUAGGUUGAAGGAGUUGGUGGACAUCCUGAAGCCAUUUGGAGCAACAGAUAUGACACAGGGGGAGAAGAAUGUCACAAUGAGUUCUGUGGUUCCCUCUGUCCUGUUCCUGCAUCACCACCUGGAACAUUUUCUGAGCAGCCUGGUCAGAAGUCUCCAGGCAUCCCUGAACAAAAGAUUUCUUGGAAUCUUCAUCAAUGUGAAAAUGUCCAGGACACAAGAUGGAAUCACUUCCCCCUUUUCAGAUCCAGUCUACCUCAAAGCAGCUG
This is a long non-coding RNA of Oncorhynchus tshawytscha (Chinook salmon), 1097 nucleotides long. NCBI's taxonomy places the organism in Eukaryota, Metazoa, Chordata, Actinopteri, Salmoniformes, Salmonidae. The record is from Ensembl.